Long non-coding RNA from Eptesicus fuscus (big brown bat), 415 nucleotides. RefSeq lists it as uncharacterized. The transcript has 4 exons. The record is from RefSeq and is a predicted model, not a curated record. NCBI's taxonomy places the organism in Eukaryota, Metazoa, Chordata, Mammalia, Chiroptera, Vespertilionidae.
GCCAGAAUGGUCUGAGAUCACUGGAGGGACAGCUACUCCAUUCGCCCGCUGGCUGUCUUCCGGCUUUCAGAAAGCCUGGGAGCCCACUACUCAUGCUUCUCAAGCUUUUCCAUCACAGUAUUCCUAAUGGCAGAGAAGGGUGGAGGCUGCUUCCCAGGGGUCUGAGAUAGCUUCUGAAGGUGCUGGCCACUCAGAUAGUGAAACCAUCUGCUUUUAUGAAGCUAUGUACUUCUUGACACAGGAUUCUCAGAAAGGCUUAUGGAAAUCAGUUUUAAGAGAGAAGAAACUAAGAACAUAAGAACAGAGGCAGCAGACACUAUGGAAACAGAAAACAAGGCGAGAGCAAGAAGGCAGAGGCUAAUGACCGAGGGAAGAUGAUUGAGGACAGCAGAAAGCAGGACAAGGGAAUAAAGUA